CCUUUGCCAUGAACACAACUCAAGUGAGUUUCGAGUCUUUUUUUCCUCAACAACGUUCGGCCACAAAUCGUGCAUUUGUAAUACGAUCGAUACUUGUCGAUUACUUCUACAUAGAGUGAACCCACAUCAUUAUUUAUAUCACCAAGGUAUCCAUCGUCUAGAAACAGAGAACCGGUCGGAGAAGUCAAAAUAAAGUUGUGCGCUUCUCUUAACACUGCAAUCGGCAAGCCAGCGGAUUCACUUUGCUAGCCAAUGACAAGUCCCUAAAAGAUCCACGUGAUCAUGCCCGUGAUCAGAAACAAAGAAGACUCCAUUUGGCGCUCAUCUUUGAAUGUACUUUUCAUCGGUUGAUCGUUUUUCUCAACUGUUUUGCUUAAUAUAACAUUUCUAAAGAUAGCUUUUAUUGUGGUUCAAUGGGAAAACGAGAACAGCGUGAGUGUUGUAAAAGAAAAGAAAGUCGUUGGCGCCGUGGAGUUAAAAGAAGGGACAACAGUUGACAUCUUGACUAGUACAAACAAGGGUCGAGUGGCCAUCUGUAAAGCUACGAUUUUGAAAGUUUGUGAUGUCAUGGAACCCAGAUACAAAAUGGUCAAGCUUCUUGUAGACAACCUGUUUCAAGGCCAACUCAUUGUGAGCCCAGAAAAAAAAUACAAGCAGCAGCUAAGUUUGCAGUUUAGGAUAACUUCAUUCUAAUUUAUUGUUACAGUUACUACAAGAUUUUAAUAAAACGAUAAAUUUUAUUUGUCUGUAAUUAACCCCUUCACUCCUAAGAGUGCUUGGUUUUCAAAUAUAAUUUAAGAUAUUGUAUUUUAUGGAAAAGAAUCAACAGAUUUUAUUCACAAUUUGUGUCAAACCAAAUUUAAUGAUUGAUUAGAACUAUUUUAUAUGAAUAGCUGUAAUUGAGGAUUAAUCCAUAUGAAGUUUUCAAGAAAAGAAAAAUCAAAUUCCAUCCUAAUAUUACCACACAUUGAUGUUAAUAAUGAAUAAAAAAUAUUUUACAUGUAAGCCUUAAUUAAGCUUCUAAAUAAAUUUCAUUGAAUACUUGAA
Molecule: long non-coding RNA, 1047 nt
Organism: Pocillopora damicornis (cauliflower coral)
Lineage: Eukaryota; Metazoa; Cnidaria; Anthozoa; Scleractinia; Pocilloporidae
Source: RefSeq, a predicted model, not a curated record